This 758-nucleotide long non-coding RNA is filed under the name Anas platyrhynchos platyrhynchos (common mallard). RNAcentral describes it as "lncRNA (ENSAPLG00000025022.1)". The record is from RNAcentral. Lineage: Eukaryota; Metazoa; Chordata; Aves; Anseriformes; Anatidae.
GUUCAGCACGCCUUAGUUUUGAAAUCACUAAAAAUAACCUCAUUGAUAAAAAGGCAAGCAGAAGCUGCAGCUGGUGCUCUGCAGCAAGCACGGGUGGGGCAGAGCCCACGGGAAGUGCGGGGACACGACUUGGUGGGAGCUACUCAUGAGGGUACCCAGCCCCCCGAGGAAGAAGGCUGUCACAACAUGGGGACUGGCACUGCAUAUUUGCAGUAUGCCAUUAGUUUAGAUCCUGUGGAAAGAGGGACCCAAACUCUGCUCCACUUAACCCAAAGCACUGCAUAGAAGAUGCCUCUGCAAGCUCUGUUUCCAUGGAAAUGAGCGUUAGUGUUAGCUUCCCCCAGCAAAGUGAAUCUAUCAGACCAACUUCAGCAAAACAGUACUUCCCAGUGAUUUUCAGAAUCCAGGAGCAAUUCAGCAUGGCGAACAAUGGCAAGCAAGACAUGAUUUCUUUCAUGGAGGUGAUGUCCAGUAGGGACCAGUAUAAUCAACUGAUGUGACCUUCUCCUGUCCGCAGACUUUACCUGAAAAGAUGGAUUAAAGCACAUUUUAUAGAAAACCACUUCUUAAAGACUGGAGGUUGUUAUGAACUUACAGCAUCUGAUAAACUGAUACAAUGUUUAAUUACCUUCACAGCUAGGAAAUUAUAUGCUAUUUUAAAAAACAAAGCUGUUGCUUUUUUUCCACCUUUUAUCUUCAGUUUCCAGUUGUUAGAUAUUCCAGUGUUUUUGCCUGCAAGAUUGAAAAACCCACCUCUA